Triticum aestivum (bread wheat) is the source of this 134-nucleotide non-coding RNA. Lineage: Eukaryota; Viridiplantae; Streptophyta; Magnoliopsida; Poales; Poaceae. The record is from Rfam.
AUGAUACUCCCUCCGUCCGAAAAUACUUGUCAUCAAAAUGGUUGAAAGGGAUGUAUCUAGAACUAAAAUACGUCUAGAUACAUCUCCUUUUAUCCAUUUUGAUGACAAGUAUUUCCAGACGGAGGGAGCAGAUA